Molecule: ribosomal RNA, 430 nt
Filed under: uncultured prokaryote
Also listed under: 1 other name
Description: bacterial SSU rRNA
Rfam family: Bacterial small subunit ribosomal RNA
Source: RNAcentral
UGGGGAAUAUUGCGCAAUGCGCGAAAGCCUGACGCAGCGACGCCGCGUGAGGGAUGAAGGCCUUAGGGUCGUAAACCUCUGUCAGGAGGGAAGAACCGCCAUAGGAGUAACUGCCUGUGGUCUGACGGUACCUCCAAAGGAAGCACCGGCUAACUCCGUGCCAGCAGCCGCGGUAAUACGGAGGGUGCAAGCGUUAAUCGGAAUCACUGGGCGUAAAGCGCGCGUAGGCGGCUUUGUAAGUCAGAGGUGAAAUCCCACGGCUCAACCGUGGAACUGCCUUUGAUACUGCUUAGCUACGAGUUUGUGAGAGGAUAGUGGAAUUCCAGGUGUAGGAGUGAAAUCCGUAGAGAUCUGGAGGAACAUCAGUGGCGAAGGCGACUAUCUGGCACAACACUGACGCUGAGGUGCGAAAGCGUGGGUAUCAAACAGG